Oreochromis niloticus (Nile tilapia) is the source of this 68-nucleotide non-coding RNA. The record is from Rfam. Lineage: Eukaryota; Metazoa; Chordata; Actinopteri; Cichliformes; Cichlidae.
GCUGUAUAGGCAGUGUCGUUAGCUGAUUGUUCUUACACACUAAUCACUAACUACACUACCAGUACAAC